Molecule: long non-coding RNA, 692 nt
Organism: Neofelis nebulosa (Clouded leopard)
Lineage: Eukaryota; Metazoa; Chordata; Mammalia; Carnivora; Felidae
Exons: 3
Source: RefSeq, a predicted model, not a curated record
CCUCCGGGUAGAAAGCCUGGCCGCGAGUCCCCGGAACGGCAGGUGUCAUGGAAAACGAAAGCGGUCUCUCUCCCUGCCCUUUUCCCCUUUGCUCAUGCGGGACUCCCGGUCUGCUAACCUUCUGCCAAGGAAAACCUGGCCCAAGCCUGGGGCGCAGCCCCGCCGGGCGUGGAGGAGGACACCCGAGCUGGGAUUCUACAGAAAACCCUGGAAGUAAGGAGACGUGACGGGAAAAGUUGAGAGCCCAGGGAUAAAGCAACACAAAACAAAAACGUUGUCAUCUUUCCCUUAACUGAGUAGAAGUUUCUACAGACCAUGGAUACAAAUAAUUUCUCAUCCAGGAGGAAUUCGAGUGACCACUGGCUUCUUGGGGUGCUACUUUAGGAACAAAAGUAAAUUGUCCCAAGAAAAAAGUGCUCGUUAAAAUCAUAAGUUGAAAAUAAGGUUUGGAUGCAAACAAAGUUAAACUAGUCAAGAAAGAGGAAUGUAUUUUGAAUUAAGUGUGAGCUGUGGCUACUGAAAGGCUAGGUUAGUUUCUAUUCUUUAGUGGAUCUUGGUUAUAAUCCAGUUUUUCUUGUCCUCUAGUAAUUUCUUGGAUGAAGUGUCUAUGCAUUUCUUAUGUACAAUUUUCCAGAAGGUUAAGAACUUGUCUAGAGAAAAGUGUGGGCAUCUUAACUACCUUCAACAGGUUU